GUGGGGAAUCUUGCGCAAUGGGCGAAAGCCUGACGCAGCCAUGCCGCGUGAAUGAUGAAGGUCUUAGGAUUGUAAAAUUCUUUCACCGGGGACGAUAAUGACGGUACCCGGAGAAGAAGCCCCGGCUAACUUCGUGCCAGCAGCCGCGGUAAUACGAAGGGGGCUAGCGUUGCUCGGAAUUACUGGGCGUAAAGGGCGCGUAGGCGGACAGUUUAGUCAGAGGUGAAAGCCCAGGGCUCAACCUUGGAAUUGCCUUUGAUACUGGCUGUCUUGAGUACGGGAGAGGUGAGUGGAACUCCGAGUGUAGAGGUGAAAUUCGUAGAUAUUCGGAGGAACACCAGUGGCGAAGGCGGCUUACUGGUCCAUUACUGACGCUGAGGUGCGAAAGCGUGGGGAGCAAACAGGAUUAGAAACCCUGGUAGUCC
RNAcentral lists this ribosomal RNA (425 nucleotides) under uncultured bacterium. Its description in RNAcentral is "partial 16S ribosomal RNA". It matches the Rfam family "Bacterial small subunit ribosomal RNA", at positions 354 to 796 of the family's 1533-position model. The record is from RNAcentral.